GGUAAAGGGCAGCAAGAGGAGGACAAGCAGGAGUUGAAGGACACCUUGGGCGUUCAGUCGGAAGCAUUAAGUGAGAAGUAUCUUGGGCUCCCAACACUAGUUGGGAAAUCCAAAGAUGGGACCUUCAAAUAUGUGACUGAAAGUGCGAAGGGCAAAGUGGAUGGAGUGAAGGGGCAGGGUUUGUCAAAGGCAGCAAGGGAAGUGCUGAUCAAAUCGGGGCUUCAAGCUGUACCCACAUUCACCAUGAGUUGUUUCCAGCUCACGAAGAAAAUAUGCCGGAACCUGACAUCAAUUUCCUCUAAAUUCUAG
Molecule: ribosomal RNA, 309 nt
Filed under: Triticum aestivum (bread wheat)
Lineage: Eukaryota; Viridiplantae; Streptophyta; Magnoliopsida; Poales; Poaceae
Description: partial small subunit ribosomal RNA
Source: RNAcentral